Molecule: ribosomal RNA, 354 nt
Filed under: uncultured bacterium
Lineage: Bacteria
Description: bacterial SSU rRNA
Rfam family: Bacterial small subunit ribosomal RNA
Source: RNAcentral
AGAGUUUGAUCCUGGCUCAGGAUGAACGCUAGCUACAGGCUUAACACAUGCAAGCCGAGGGGCAGCAUGAACUUAGCUUGCUAAGUUUUGAUGGCGACCGGCGCACGGGUGAGUAACACGUAUCCAACCUGCCGAUGACUCGGGGAUAGCCUUUCGAAAGAAAGAUUAAUACCCGAUGGCAUAGUUCUUUCGCAUGGUGGAACUAUUAAAGAAUUUCGGUCAUCGAUGGGGAUGCGUUCCAUUAGGUUGUUGGCGGGGUAACGGCCCACCAAGCCUUCGAUGGAUAGGGGUUCUGAGAGGAAGGUCCCCCACAUUGGAACUGAGACACGGUCCAAACUCCUACGGGAGGCAGCA